This 231-nucleotide ribosomal RNA is filed under the name uncultured bacterium. Its description in RNAcentral is "partial 16S ribosomal RNA". It matches the Rfam family "Bacterial small subunit ribosomal RNA", at positions 28 to 253 of the family's 1533-position model. The record is from RNAcentral.
GAUGAACGCUAGCGGCAGGCUUAAUACAUGCAAGUCGAGGGGCAGCACGAAUAGCAAUAUUUGGUGGCGACCGGCAAACGGGUGCGGAACACGUACGCAACCUUCCUUUAAGUGGAGAAUAGGACCCGGGGGAAACCCGGAUUAAUACUCCGUAACAUUAUAAAGUGGCACCACUUAGUAAUUAUAGAUUUAUCGCUUAAAGAUGGGCGUGCGCCUGAUUAGGUAGUUGGC